RNAcentral lists this ribosomal RNA (464 nucleotides) under Salmonella enterica. RNAcentral's name for it is "partial 23S ribosomal RNA". It matches the Rfam family "Bacterial large subunit ribosomal RNA", at positions 1154 to 1592 of the family's 2925-position model. RNAcentral also lists the same sequence under 1 other name. Lineage: Bacteria; Pseudomonadati; Pseudomonadota; Gammaproteobacteria; Enterobacterales; Enterobacteriaceae. The record is from RNAcentral.
CGUAUCACCCAAGACAACUUUACGGAGUUGACGAUUGACGGAGCGAAGCGACGUCAAAGCGUUCAUUAAAGUCGAGUUGGCUUAGGGAUACGUUCGUUGGGUAGGGGAGCGUUCUGUAAGCCUGUGAAGGUGUGUCGUGAGGCAUGCUGGAGGUAUCAGAAGUGCGAAUGCUGACAUAAGUAACGAUAAAGCGGGUGAAAAGCCCGCUCGCCGGAAGACCAAGGGUUCCUGUCCAACGUUAAUCGGGGCAGGGUGAGUCGACCCCUAAGGCGAGGCCGAAAGGCGUAGUCGAUGGGAAACGGGUUAAUAUUCCCGUACUUGGUGUUACUGCGAAGGGGGGACGGAGAAGGCUAUGUUGGCCGGGCGACGGUUGUCCCGGUUUAAGCGUGUAGGUGUGUGUUCCAGGUAAAUCCGGUUCACUUUAACACUGAGGCGUGACGACGAGGCACUACGGUGCUGAAGCA